Molecule: unclassified non-coding RNA, 226 nt
Filed under: uncultured fungus
Lineage: Eukaryota; Fungi
Description: sequence contains ITS1
Source: RNAcentral
AUGGAAAUGUAUUUGAGGUUUGAAGCUGACUCUUUCGAGAGUAUCUGUGCUCGCCUUGAUUCCAAUCCACAUUUCACACCUGUGCACAUAUUGUAGUUUUGGGGAUUCAGGAGGGGAGUGCUCAUACACUCUUUUCUAUUCUCAACUCUACGUAAUUUUUUUACACAUACUCUAUAUAUGUUUAGAAUGUUAUUAUUUGCGAUAAUAUAAAAAACGCAUUUAAAAA